GGGGGUAUAGCUCAGUGGUAGAGCAUGUGCUUGUGUGUCCGAGGUCUUGGGUUCAAUUCCCAGGGCCUCUG
RNAcentral lists this transfer RNA (71 nucleotides) under Camelus bactrianus (Bactrian camel). It matches the Rfam family "tRNA". From Rfam's summary of the family: Transfer RNA (tRNA) molecules are approximately 80 nucleotides in length. Their secondary structure includes four short double-helical elements and three loops (D, anti-codon, and T loops). The record is from Rfam by way of RNAcentral. RNAcentral also lists the same sequence under 2 other names. Lineage: Eukaryota; Metazoa; Chordata; Mammalia; Artiodactyla; Camelidae.